Molecule: ribosomal RNA, 429 nt
Filed under: Bacteroidota bacterium
Lineage: Bacteria; Pseudomonadati; Bacteroidota
Description: Bacteroidetes bacterium partial 16S ribosomal RNA
Rfam family: Bacterial small subunit ribosomal RNA
Source: RNAcentral
UAGGGAAUCUUCGGCAAUGGGGGGAACCCUGACUGAGCAACGCCGCGUGAGUGAAGAAGGUUUUCGGAUCGUAAAGCUCUGUUGUUAAGGAAGAACGAGUGUGAGAAUGGAAAGUUCAUACUGUGACGGUACUUAACCAGAAAGGGACGGCUAACUACGUGCCAGCAGCCGCGGUAAUACGUAGGUCCCGAGCGUUGUCCGGAUUUAUUGGGCAUAAAGCGAGCGCAGGCGGUUAGAUAAGUCUGAAGUUAAAGGCAGUGGCUCAACCAUUGUAGGCUUUGGAAACUGUUUAACUUGAGUGCAGAAGGGGAGAGUGGAAUUCCAUGUGUAGCGGUGAACUGCGUAGAUAUAUGGAGGAACACCGGUGGCGAAAGCGGCUCUCUGGUCUGUAACUGACGCUGAGGCUCGAAAGCGUGGGGAGCGAACAGG